Molecule: ribosomal RNA, 442 nt
Filed under: uncultured bacterium
Lineage: Bacteria
Description: partial 16S ribosomal RNA
Rfam family: Bacterial small subunit ribosomal RNA
Source: RNAcentral
CCUACGGGUGGCUGCAGUGGGGAAUAUUGGGCAAUGGGCGCAAGCCUGACCCAGCAACGCCGCGUGAAGGAAGAAGGCUUUCGGGUUGUAAACUUCUUUUGACAGGGAAGAGCAGAAGACGGUACCUGUCGAAUAAGCCACGGCUAACUACGUGCCAGCAGCCGCGGUAAUACGUAGGUGGCAAGCGUUGUCCGGAUUUACUGGGUGUAAAGGGCGUGUAGCCGGGCUGACAAGUCAGAUGUGAAAUCCGGGGGCUCAACCCCCGAACUGCAUUUGAAACUGUGUUGCUGGAGUGCAGGAGGGGUAAGCGGAAUUCCUAGUGUAGCGGUGAAAUGCGUAGAUAUUAGGAGGAACACCGGUGGCGAAGGCGGCUUACUGGACUGUAACUGACGUUGAGGCUCGAAGGCGUGGGGAGCAAACAGGAUUAGAUACCCGAGUAGUC